RNAcentral lists this ribosomal RNA (440 nucleotides) under uncultured Sphingobium sp. Its description in RNAcentral is "bacterial SSU rRNA". It matches the Rfam family "Bacterial small subunit ribosomal RNA", at positions 338 to 795 of the family's 1533-position model. Lineage: Bacteria; Pseudomonadati; Pseudomonadota; Alphaproteobacteria; Sphingomonadales; Sphingobiaceae. The record is from RNAcentral.
CCUACGGGUGGCAGCAGUAGGGAAUAUUGGACAAUGGGCGAAAGCCUGAUCCAGCAAUGCCGCGUGAGUGAUGAAGGCCUUAGGGUUGUAAAGCUCUUUUACCCGAGAUGAUAAUGACAGUAUCGGGAGAAUAAGCUCCGGCUAACUCCGUGCCAGCAGCCGCGGUAAUACGGAGGGAGCUAGCGUUGUUCGGAAUUACUGGGCGUAAAGCGCACGUAGGCGGCGAUUUAAGUCAGAGGUGAAAGCCCGGGGCUCAACCCCGGAACUGCCUUUGAGACUGGAUUGCUAGAAUCUUGGAGAGGCGAGUGGAAUUCCGAGUGUAGAGGUGAAAUUCGUAGAUAUUCGGAAGAACACCAGUGGCGAAGGCGGCUCGCUGGACAAGUAUUGACGCUGAGGUGCGAAAGCGUGGGGAGCAAACAGGAUUAGAUACCCCAGUAGUC